This 30-nucleotide non-coding RNA is filed under the name Macaca fascicularis (crab-eating macaque). Lineage: Eukaryota; Metazoa; Chordata; Mammalia; Primates; Cercopithecidae. RNAcentral also lists the same sequence under 1 other name. The record is from RNAcentral.
UAUAAAAGUAACUCGAUUGGACUAGACCCC